Molecule: ribosomal RNA, 413 nt
Filed under: uncultured Rhizophagus
Lineage: Eukaryota; Fungi; Glomeromycota; Glomeromycetes; Glomerales; Glomeraceae
Description: partial 28S ribosomal RNA
Source: RNAcentral
GAGAGUUAAACAGUACGUGAAAUUGUUGAAAGGGAAACGAUUGAAGCCAGUCGUACCUUCGGGUAAUCAGCCUUUCGGGUGCGAUUAUGUGGAGUGUGAGGAGCUUAAACACCUUCAUGUUUUGCAUAUUCGUACUCUUGGGUGUACUUGCCCGUGUGGUUGGUUAACAUCAAUUUUGGUGGUCAUAAAAUGACUGGAGGAAUGUAGCUUCGAUCUCGUAUUGAAGUGUUAUAGCCUUCGGUAGAUGUGAUGAUCGAGAUUGAGGAUUGCAACGGAUACCCUUCGGGGCUACCUGUCUGGUCUCUGAUCGUUGCUCUGGUGCCGAAAGCUUGCUUACGGUUAUCAAAGUCGAUGGUCAAUAGGUUAGAACGGGUUAAAUUCGUUAAGGAUGUUGACGUAAUGGCUUUAAACGA